RNA transcript from Oncorhynchus gorbuscha (pink salmon), 1108 nucleotides. It is a transcript of the gene named selenoprotein F-like, with no coding region annotated. The record is from RefSeq and is a predicted model, not a curated record. NCBI's taxonomy places the organism in Eukaryota, Metazoa, Chordata, Actinopteri, Salmoniformes, Salmonidae. The transcript has 5 exons.
CCAAAAAAGCGUGUAUAUUGUAAUUUACAGGACAUCAGGCAGUUGGCAGUACUACUUCCUACAUUUAAUGGGUCCUCAAUUUCCUUCCCUGACAAAGCAAUCUCCAAAAUGUCUGGGGAGGUGUAUCUCCUGUGGCUUCUUUCUCUCAUACAAACGCUGUCAGCAUAUGGAGCCAACUUGUCCUCAGAGUCAUGCAGGGAGCUGGGCUUUUCCAGCAACCUCCUGUGCAGCUCCUGUGACCUGCUGGGGGAGUUCAGCCUGAUCUCCAUCCAGCCUGUCUGCAAACAGUGCUGCCAACAGGAGGUCAAUAUGGAGUCCAGGAAGCUCUACCCUGGGGCCAUCCUGGAAGUGUGUGGAUGAAAAUUGGGGAGGUUCCCUCAAGUCCAAGCUUUUGUCAGGUCUGACAAGCCGAAGAUGUUCAAGGGUCUUCAAAUUAAGUAUGUGAGAGGCGCAGACCCUAUACUAAAGCUGCUGGACGAUAACGGGAACAUUGCUGAAGAACUCAGCAUCCUCAAGUGGAACACGGAUAGUGUGGAAGAAUUCCUGAGCGAGAAGUUGGAAGUAUAUAAUACCGAUUUGUAGUACUCAUCACCAGUUUUUUUGUGUUUUUGGAUUUUGUUUAAAGGUACUGCACUAUUGUACUUUAUUUUUGUAGUACCUGAAAAUCAUGAACUUUGAACUGACAUUAUGUGCCAGGAUGUUAAACGGCUGUUUUAUAGAUUUGUAAAGUACCUGAACUUACCUGCAAAAUACCUGGCAUUAACAUCAAAAUGAUUGGAAUGAAGUUGCCAAAGAAAGACUGAAGAUGUUCACUGCUCGUUACCUUUUUUGUUCUCCCAUCUGUCAGUUUUCUCUGUGGUUUCAUUUUUAAAAAACUUGUGUCAUCUUUGGGUGGGUGGGGUCCAAGUCGUUCACUUCAUGCAGAUGUUUCGGGGAGGAACACAUUAGUGAAGGCCUCACAGUAAACCACAUUUUGGGAUGUGAGACCUGAUGUCCCUGUGUGUCACUCUGGGCAUCUUGCAGUGGAGAGAGACUGGAUUCCCCAGUGUGUGAUUUAGAAUUGGGGAGGAAAAACACUGCAAUUUAAUAAAAUGUCUCCAUGUUAUUA